UAGUAACUGCGAGUGAAGCGGGAAAAGCUCAAAUUUUGAAUCUGGCGGUCUUGUUGGCCGUCCGAGUUGUAAUCUAGAGAAGCGUCUUCCGCGCUGGACCGUGUACAAGUCUCCUGGAAGGGAGCGUCAUAGAGGGUGAGAAUCCCGUCUUUGACACGGACNGCCAGUGCUAUGUGAUGCGCUCUCGACGAGUCGAGUUGUUUGGGAAUGCAGCUCAAAAUGGGUGGUAAAUUCCAUCUAAAGCUAAAUACAGGCGAGAGACCGAUAGCGAACAAGUACCGUGAGGGAAAGAUGAAAAGAACUUUGGAAAGAGAGUUAAACAGUACGUGAAAUUGCUGAAAGGGAAACGCUUGAUGUCAGUCGCGUCCGCCAGGGAUCAACCUUGCCUUAAUCCGCUGGGUGCAUUUCUUGGUCGGACGGGUCAGCAUCGGUUUCGAUCGUCGUAGAAUGUUCAAGGGAACGUGGCACCUCUAGGGGUGUGUUAUAGCCUUUGGUCGUAUGCGUCGGUGGGGACCGAGGAACUCGGCACGACCUUCGGGUCUCGUGUCUAGGAUGCUGGCAUAAUGGCCUUAAGCGACCCGUCUUGAAACACGGACCAAGGAGUCUAACAUGCCUGCGAGUGUUUGGGUGGUAAAACUCGAGCGCGCAAUGAAAGUGAAAGUCGAGAUCUCUGUCAU
RNAcentral lists this ribosomal RNA (677 nucleotides) under Phylloporus bellus. Its description in RNAcentral is "partial large subunit ribosomal RNA". It matches the Rfam family "Eukaryotic large subunit ribosomal RNA", at positions 81 to 750 of the family's 3401-position model. Lineage: Eukaryota; Fungi; Basidiomycota; Agaricomycetes; Boletales; Boletaceae. The record is from RNAcentral.